CCAAUAGCGUAUAUUAAAGUUGUUGCAGUUAAAAAGCUCGUAGUUGAAUUUCGGGGUUAGUAGGUUGGUCAUGCCUCUGGUAUGUACUGAUCUCACUGAUUCCUCCUUCCUUAUGAACCGUAAUGCCAUUAAUUUGGUGUUGCGGGGAAUUUGGACUGUUACUUUGAAAAAAUUAGAGUGUUUAAAGCAGGCUAACGCUUGAAUACAUUCGCAUGGAAUAAUGAAAUAGGACGUUCGAUCUUAUUUUGUUGGUUUCUAGGAUUGACGUAAUGAUUAAUAGGGAUAGUUGGGGGCAUUAGUAUUCAAUUGUCAGAGGUGAAAUUCUUGGAUUUAUUGAAGACUAACUACUGCGAAAGCAUUUGCCAAGGAUGUUUUCAUUAAUCAAGAACGAAAGUUAGGGGAUCGAAGACGAUCAGAUACCGUCGUAGUCUUAACCAUAAACUAUGCCGACUAGGGAUCGGAUGAUGUUAAUUUUUUAAUGACUCAUUCGGCGCCUUACGGGAAACCAAAGUGUUUGGGUC
RNAcentral lists this unclassified non-coding RNA (521 nucleotides) under uncultured Glomeromycotina. Its description in RNAcentral is "SSU rRNA". It matches the Rfam family "Eukaryotic small subunit ribosomal RNA", at positions 591 to 1113 of the family's 1831-position model. Lineage: Eukaryota; Fungi; Glomeromycota. The record is from RNAcentral.